GAGUGUCCCAAGACCUUGCUGGAGGGGACCACGUGUGCAGGAGUGCGCUCCCAGGGAGAGGGCUGGCUCUCGCCCCGUGGAACGGCAGCCACUGCCUGCCCCCUCGUGCUCGGGGGAAGAGACAGCGGGGGCACCGUGGCCCUGAGACAACAGGAGCGCUGUGUCCCUCUGCAUGGACCUCCUGGGUGAGGUGGCAUCCCUGAACCUCCCACUGGUCUGCAGCCUCCAGGUUGCUGGUCCAGACAUCCGCUAUUUCCCUCUGAUCUUAAAGCAGCAGUUUGG
This 282-nucleotide long non-coding RNA is filed under the name Chinchilla lanigera (long-tailed chinchilla). RNAcentral describes it as "lncRNA (ENSCLAG00000028676.1)". Lineage: Eukaryota; Metazoa; Chordata; Mammalia; Rodentia; Chinchillidae. The record is from RNAcentral.